This 476-nucleotide ribosomal RNA is filed under the name uncultured bacterium. RNAcentral's name for it is "partial 16S ribosomal RNA". It matches the Rfam family "Bacterial small subunit ribosomal RNA", at positions 28 to 523 of the family's 1533-position model. The record is from RNAcentral.
GAUGAACGCUGGCGGCGUGCUUAACACAUGCAAGUCGAGCGAGUGAGUUCUUCGGAACGAUCUAGCGGCGGACGGGUGAGUAACACGUGGGCAACCUGCCUCAUAGGGGGGAAUAGCCUCCCGAAAGGGAGAUUAAUACCGCAUAAAAUUUUAGAGUGGCAUCACAUGAUAAUCAAAGUAGUAAUCCGCUAUGAGAUGGGCGCGCGGCGCAUUAGCUAGUUGUGGAGGUAACGGCUCACCAAGGCAACGAUGCGUAGCCGACCUGAGAGGGGGAUCGGCCACAGUGGGACUGAGACACGGCCCAGACUCCUACGGGAGGCAGCAGUGGGGAAUAUUGCACAAUGGGGGAAACCCUGAUGAAGCAACGCCGCGUGAGUGAUGAAGGUCUUCGGAUUGUAAAGCUCUGUCUUUGGGGACGAUAAUGACGGUACCCAAGGAGGAAGCCACGGCUAACUACGUGCCAGCAGCCGCCGUAA